This 253-nucleotide ribosomal RNA is filed under the name uncultured bacterium. Its description in RNAcentral is "partial 16S ribosomal RNA". It matches the Rfam family "Bacterial small subunit ribosomal RNA", at positions 524 to 776 of the family's 1533-position model. The record is from RNAcentral.
UACGGGGGGGGCAAGCGUUGUUCGGAAUUACUGGGCGUAAAGGGCUCGUAGGUGGCCAACUAAGUCACACGUGAAAUCCCUCGGCUUAACCGGGGAACUGCGUGUGAUACUGGAUGGCUUGAGUUUGGGAGAGGGAUGCGGAAUUCCAGGUGUAGCGGUGAAAUGCGUAGAUAUCUGGAGGAACACCGGUGGCGAAGGCGGCUCUCUAGUACGGUACUGACGCUGAGACGCGAAAGCGUGGGGAGCGAACAGG